Molecule: long non-coding RNA, 219 nt
Filed under: Homo sapiens (human)
Lineage: Eukaryota; Metazoa; Chordata; Mammalia; Primates; Hominidae
Description: HSALNT0272451
Source: RNAcentral
CACAGAGCUUACACAUCCUUUCCUCAAUUCCACUGCAUUAAAAAAAAAAGAUUACAUUAAAGCAUUGUUUUAACUGGAUUUCUUAGUGGUUGGGUUGGUUUUUCUGUUACAACGUGAAGCCAUCCAAGAUUGUGUAGUGCGAGAAUUUCACAUGUACGUCAGCAUGAGAUGAGUCUGUCUGGUGUUUAAGCACCACUGCUUUAAAACAAAGGGGCCCAC